RNAcentral lists this long non-coding RNA (3688 nucleotides) under Eptatretus burgeri (inshore hagfish). RNAcentral's name for it is "lncRNA (ENSEBUG00000017199.1)". Lineage: Eukaryota; Metazoa; Chordata; Myxini; Myxiniformes; Myxinidae. The record is from RNAcentral.
GGCUCUGACGACGCCAAGGAACAACAAAUAGAAGAAGAAGAAGAUGGAAGUGGAAGUCCGAUGAAGAACUUCCGGGUCGAUCUUCCUGUGAACCUUGUGCAGGAACUUCAGCGCAGGUCCUCGUGGCCGCUGGGGAAGUGGAUUGGAAGAGGUGUUUUCGGAAUUGUUAUUUAACACUGAGAAAGAUCUGUGAAACGUUAGUUGAAAUAUGAAAUAAUUUUCUAUUCCUUGAUGACGGCGAUGAAGGUCAUCGGUGAAAUGGACAACUUCUUGGAAUGGCUCCAAACGCAAGGUCUGAGAGCAGAAACAGCCCAAGCAGUGAUCAAUAUACUUGGAAUUGAGAAUUGGAAGGUUCUUCGAGCUUGUACAGACUCCGAUGCAUUGCAAACAGAGCUCCUCUCUCUCGCCAAAGAGAAAUUUAAAUUUGCAAUGUAUGCUGACUUCUGUAAAUUUGUGAAAUCUUUUUUGAAGCCGCUGAAUGUCCAGCUUGCAGGUUCUUCUCUGUUGGGAAGUCUAUUCGUCAACUUGGAGAAUGUUAUUCGUGAACUUUCCAGUUUCUGCCAAAAGUUUAUUGGAUUCCAAAAUGUGCAGCCGAAAAAUAUUCCUGGUUUCCGAGGAAUCGGUUUGAGUGAUGUCUGCAACCUCCACAAUCAGGAUGAUGGAUUAACACCCAAGUCUGGUAUGUCACUAUUUUACACAUCCUCGCAUGUCAAGAAAUACCUUGAUGUUGAACCAUUAAUGUGUUUUUUUUCUUGUAACCUAUGGAAUCUUUUUGGAACAAUUUUGUGUUGUUAAAGACGUUUAGAAUCUCGACACAAAGUCAAUGUUUUUUUUUCUCCUCAAUCGCAUUAAAUUCCAAAGUGUUCCAUGUUUAGCAGCAUAUUUAAGUUAUCCACAUGCAGGAAAUAGUUUGUUUACCACUCAUAUCGGCACGGACAUCUUAUGGGAGAAAGGAUUCUGUUAAAUAGAUCAUAUCUGGGCUGUAAGUUUUUGAGCCUAGAUUGAGAGAUCUGUCAGGAUGGAGUGGACGCCUCAGAUGUUUGAGGGACAGUGGAGAAGGUGUUGGGAGGGUGGGAGGCUUGGAGUGUGAGGGAUGGGAGAGGAAGGGUCGGCUGAGAAGGUGCCGAUAGGAGGGGGUGGGAUGGGUGGAAUUUUGGGGGGGGGAGCUUGGAGAGGAUGGGGUGAGGGGGGAGCUUGGAGAGGAUGGGGUGAUGGGGGUGCAUAAAGAGGGGACAUGUGCUUGUAGUCGAUUUUUGGGAUGGUACUGACACGGAGGGUUUGACACUAAAACAACGUGAAUUAGGUUUGAUUGUUAUGUACAGACAACCUCUGCAAAUACCUUCCCAGGAUUCCCAUGCUUAACUUUUGUUCGUCAUGGAGAGGCGGUAAUACAUGUGGAGUUUUGCCUCUAUCUGUUCAGCCGUUUCGGAGAAAAAGACUUUUAAAGUUAUUAAUUUUCAAUCCAAUAUGGCUGCCGUACCAUGUGCCCAAUUACAACAUAAAUUUAAAUUCUCCAUCUAAUGGGGAAGUGGAUUAUGCUUAAGUUUCGUGUUUAUCGGACAAGGUGCGUUUUUUUUUCUAUCCAAGAUGGACUCCAAACCAUGUGACUUGUGACAUCAUAAUUUUUACGAUAUCUGCAGGCAUUGGGGUAGAUUAUAGUUGCCAAGUUUCGCUUCGAUCGGUUAUGUGGUUCCAGAGAAAACAUUAUUUUAUAUAAUUCUUGAAUCCAACAUGGCUGCCAAACCGUGUGACCUUUAAAUUAGAAAUUAACAAACUUAGAUUCUUGACUCAUGUGCAAUACGUAUGUAAAGUUUCCCCUUGAUCUGACCAGUUGUUCUGGAGAAGAUGUUUGAAGGUUUCAGGGUAAAUUCAAGAUGGCCGCCAAACCAUGUGACCUAUCAAUUAGAAAUUAACAAACUUGUGAAAGGAUGUCUUGGGGAAAGUGUGUGUGAAUUUUUGCCUCAAUCUGUCCAGCUGUUCUGGAGAAGAAGAUUGUAAAAAUUUAUUAAUUUUCUAUCCAAGAUGGCUGACAAACCAUGUGACCUAUGACAUCAUAACUUUACAUUCUGCUUCCAAUCGUGUAGUGGGACACGUGUUAAGUUUCGUGUUAAUUGGAUGAGGUGUGUUUUUCUAUUUACGAUGACUGUCAAACCAUGUGACUUGUGACGUCAUUUUUACCAUGUAUGCAGACAUGAUGGAAGAUAAUAGUUGCACAUUUUCGCUUCGAUAGAUUGUCAUUAAGCAGUUUCAGAGAAAACAUUAUUUAAUAUUUUUUCUUAAAUCCAACAUGGCUGCCAAACCAUGUGUCAUAUCAAUUAUUCAUUAACAAACUUAUAUCCCCUACACAUGCAGAAUAGACUUGUGAAGUUUCCCCUUGAUCUGACCAGCCGUUCUGCAGAAGAUGUUUGAAGGUUUUAAGGUCAAUUCAACAUGGCCGCCAAACCAUGUGACCUAUCAAUUAGAAAUCAACAAACUUGUGAAAGGAUGUCAUGGGGAAUGUGUGUGCAAAGUUGUGCCUCAAUAUGUCCAGCCGUUCUGGAGAAGAAGAUUAAAAAAAAAAAAAUUCCCCCUAAAACAAGAUGGCUGCCAAAUCAAGACACCGAUGACGUCACAAUAAUAUUUUUCUACGGUGAUUUGUUGUGUUGAUGACGCUAAAAUUUCCAGAUUUUUCCCAUGUAGCGUUCUACUUGACGAAUUUUCACCGGCAUACCGCUUCACCGAUGACGUCACAAAAAAUCACCCGUGUUCCCCAUGGGGAGCUUAUUAAGGCCUAGGUCACAUUUGCCACGGCGGCCGUGGGCUCUCCAAAAUCUACGGCUACCAGCAAUUAUACGGCGGCCGCAGUAUUUCCAUGGUCACACAAUGUAGCAGUCACAUAUGUUUUUAUUUGUCGGGGAGCCGCACGGCGUAUUUAGGCCUAAGUCACAUUUGCCACGGCGGCCGUGGGGUCUCCAAAAUCUAUGGCCAUAAGCAAUUAUACGGCGGCCGCAGUAUUUCCAUGGUCACACAAUGUAGCAGUCACAUAUGUUUUUAUUUUUCGGGGAGCUGCACGGCGUAUUUAUAAAUUGUGUAGACCGAAAACGUGGGGUUGCUGUACGGUCUUUGAUUUGAUGUCGCACGCUGACCUUAGGGCGUUCCUGCGGCGGCCAUAGAAUUUUCAAGGCAGACGCAAGGUGACCGCAAGGCGACCGCUAAGGCGAACGUGUGGCCAGACGGACGGUAACAAAUGGGUUAAUUAUUAUUAUUUUUUUUUUGCCAUGUCUUUUGUUUCGGCUUGUCGAAUUGCUAUGGCGAACGUAGAAAUGAAAAAAGUUAUAACUCCGCGUUAUAAUUCCACGGCGCCCUUACGGCCUGUAAAAUAUAGCCAUACAGCGUAGGGCCAUCCUGAGGCCACCUCGGAAACUCUGCGGCUGCCACACGUUUCUGUCAAUUCAGAGGGCGUUCGGCCGCCGUAUCCUCGCCGUAGAGCAAAUGUGACUUAGGCCUAAAACGUAUGAAGCAAUAAUAAAUUCCAUUGCACGGUUUCAGAGAUACAGAGGUCCAAAGUUUAUCGGUUUUUUUUUUUAAGAUGGCACCCGUACCACAUGACCUAUGACAUCAUAAUUACAAAAAAGAUACAUACUAUGGUGAAAAUUUUGUGUCGAUCGGACUUACCCCCCCCCCCCCCCCCCCCCCCCCCCCCCCCCCC